Molecule: ribosomal RNA, 468 nt
Filed under: uncultured bacterium
Lineage: Bacteria
Description: partial 16S ribosomal RNA
Rfam family: Bacterial small subunit ribosomal RNA
Source: RNAcentral
GACGAACGCUGGCGGCGUGCUUAACACAUGCAAGUCGAACGGUGAAGCUCCAGCUUGCUGGAGUGGAUCAGUGGCGAACGGGUGAGUAACACGUGAGUAACCUGCCCCUGACUCUGGAAUAAGCGCUGGAAACGGCGUCUAAUACUGGAUACGAGAAGGGUCCGCAUGGGCACUUUCUGGAAAGUUUUUCGGUUGGGGAUGGGCUCGCGGCCUAUCAGCUUGUUGGUGAGGUAAUGGCUCACCAAGGCGACGACGGGUAGCCGGCCUGAGAGGGCGACCGGCCACACUGGGACUGAGACACGGCCCAGACUCCUACGGGAGGCAGCAGUGGGGAAUAUUGCACAAUGGGCGAAAGCCUGAUGCAGCGACGCCGCGUGAGGGAUGACGGCCUUCGGGUUGUAAACCUCUUUCAGCAGGGAAGAAGCGAAAGUGACGGUACCUGCAGAAGAAGCACCGGCUAACUACGAG